GUGUCAGCCGCCGCGGUAAUACGUGGGGUGCAAGCGUUGUUCGGAAUUACUGGGCGUAAAGCGCGUGUAGGCGGCGCACUAAGUUCGAUGUGAAAGCCCUGGGCUUAACCCAGGAACUGCAUUGAAAACUGGUGGGCUUGAGUCCGGGAGAGGGUCGCGGAAUUCCUGGUGUAGAGGUGAAAUUCGUAGAUAUCAGGAGGAACACCGGUGGCGAAGGCGGCGACCUGGACCGGUACUGACGCUGAGACGCGAAAGCGUGGGGAGCAAACAGGAUUAGAUACCCUCGUAGUCC
RNAcentral lists this ribosomal RNA (292 nucleotides) under uncultured bacterium. RNAcentral describes it as "partial 16S ribosomal RNA". It matches the Rfam family "Bacterial small subunit ribosomal RNA", at positions 505 to 796 of the family's 1533-position model. The record is from RNAcentral.